AAUGCAAAUGAGCUGUGCCUGAAUACGCCUCUCUUCGGAAGGGGAUGCCGUUUGGGCUUCUGGCACCAUGCUCUAAUGUUUACGGUGACCAGCGACCUGGCGUCGGUAGCGAUUUGGUUCAACCACACGACUUUUAUCCAGAAUCUGAUCCAGAGGGAGAGGCUGCUGAAGAAGUUCAAACUCUACAACUGCAGCAGGACGUUUCUGAAUGGUGCUCCUGUUGAAACUGUGCAACCAUGUCCACAGAAACUGAGAAUAUCUGCUGCUAGGAGAUACCACAGGUUACCAGACGGCUACGGGAGAUGGAGGAAGAUUUACCAUGUAUAGUAGGCCGUCCUGGGUUGGAGCCGCUCUGCCUCAAUGUGUACUCCCUCCAGAAUGCCUGAAACAUGUACCGCACUGACUAUGGUCCUUUACGGUUGAGAGGAAUAUACCAGUACAUUUUGCUUCUUUGUAAAAACAUAGUUUCAAUCUGAAUAAAAGAUGUUAGGCAGUCUUGUUUUACUUCAGUGCACAUAAUUUUACAAUGGUAAUAACACACCACAAAUGGAGUAACACACCUUCAAAUAAAUUACU
Seriola aureovittata is the source of this 576-nucleotide long non-coding RNA. RefSeq lists it as uncharacterized. The record is from RefSeq and is a predicted model, not a curated record. Lineage: Eukaryota; Metazoa; Chordata; Actinopteri; Carangiformes; Carangidae. The transcript has 3 exons.